CAGUUCGGAUCGGAGUCUGCAACCCGACUCCGUGAAGCUGGAUUCGCUAGUAAUCGCGCAUCAGCCAUGGCGCGGUGAAUACGUUCCCGGGCCUUGUACACACCGCCCGUCAAGCCAUGGGAGUCGGUAACACCCGAAGCCUGUAGUCCAACCGCAAGGAGGACGCAGUCGAAGGUGGGAUUGAUGACUGGGGUGAAGUCGUAACAAGGUACC
RNAcentral lists this ribosomal RNA (213 nucleotides) under uncultured bacterium. RNAcentral's name for it is "partial 16S ribosomal RNA". It matches the Rfam family "Bacterial small subunit ribosomal RNA", at positions 1289 to 1500 of the family's 1533-position model. The record is from RNAcentral.